GACGAACGCUGGCGGCGUGCUUAACACAUGCAAGUCGAACGGAAAGGCCCUGCUUUUGUGGGGUGCUCGAGUGGCGAACGGGUGAGUAACACGUGAGUAACCUGCCCUUGACUUUGGGAUAACUUCAGGAAACUGGGGCUAAUACCGGAUAGGAGCUCCUGCUGCAUGGUGGGGGUUGGAAAGUUUCGGCGGUUGGGGAUGGACUCGCGGCUUAUCAACUUGUUGGUGGGGUAGUGGCUUACCAAGGCUUUGACGGGUAGCCGGCCUGAGAGGGUGACCGGCCACAUUGGGACUGAGAUACGGCCCAGACUCCUACGGGAGGCAGCAGUGGGGAAUAUUGCACAAUGGGCGGAAGCCUGAUGCAGCAACGCCGCGUGCGGGAUGACGGCCUUCGGGUGGUAAACCGCUUUCGCCUGUGACGAAGCGUGAGUGACGGUAAUGGGUAAAGAAGCACCGGCUAACUACGU
This 467-nucleotide ribosomal RNA is filed under the name uncultured bacterium. RNAcentral's name for it is "partial 16S ribosomal RNA". It matches the Rfam family "Bacterial small subunit ribosomal RNA", at positions 28 to 506 of the family's 1533-position model. The record is from RNAcentral.